RNAcentral lists this ribosomal RNA (253 nucleotides) under uncultured bacterium. Its description in RNAcentral is "partial 16S ribosomal RNA". It matches the Rfam family "Archaeal small subunit ribosomal RNA", at positions 474 to 727 of the family's 1478-position model. The record is from RNAcentral.
UACCAGCACCCCGAGCGGUCGGGACGAUUAUUGGGCCUAAAGCAUCCGUAGCCGGUUCUACAAGUCUUCCGUUAAACCCACCUGCUUAACAGAUGGGCUGCGGAGGAUACUAUGGAGCUAGGAGGCGGGAGAGGCAAGCGGUACUUAGUGGGUAGGGGUAAAAUCCGUUGAUCCAUUGAAGACCACCAGUGGCGAAGGCGGCUUGCCAGAACGCACUCGACGGUGAGGGAUGAAAGCUGGGGGAGCAAACCGG